AUUCUAUGAGCUUAAUUGAAGCUUUUGCUAGGAUUAUUUCUAGUUGAGCAUGACGACAUGCAGGUUUAGUUUUGUUGCUUGCUUGAUGUGUGCUUAAGGAUAGCGGGAGCUUCCCCUCUUUAUCCGUUUCGAUGUCUUAGAUUAGGCUCUGAUCUAGGAUGUCAGUUGUUAUCUUUAAUUGGUUGUGUUGUUGAGAUUUUACCCAUUUGUCGGGAU
RNAcentral lists this long non-coding RNA (216 nucleotides) under Medicago truncatula (barrel medic). RNAcentral's name for it is "lncRNA gene46723". Lineage: Eukaryota; Viridiplantae; Streptophyta; Magnoliopsida; Fabales; Fabaceae. The record is from RNAcentral.